UACGGAGGAUGCGAGCGUUAUCCGGAUUUAUUGGGUUUAAAGGGUGCGUAGACGGACUGUCAAGUCAGCGGUAAAAUUGAGAGGCUCAACCUCUUCCCGCCGUUGAAACUGGUGGUCUUGAGUGGAUGAGAAGUACGCGGAAUGCGUGGUGUAGCGGUGAAAUGCAUAGAUAUCACGCAGAACUCCGAUUGCGAAGGCAGCAUACCGGCGCCCUACUGACGCUGAGGCACGAAAGCGUGGGUAUCGAACAGG
This 252-nucleotide ribosomal RNA is filed under the name uncultured bacterium. RNAcentral's name for it is "partial 16S ribosomal RNA". It matches the Rfam family "Bacterial small subunit ribosomal RNA", at positions 524 to 776 of the family's 1533-position model. The record is from RNAcentral.